CGCAUACUGUGUGUCCACUUCUGACCAAUCAGAUUUCGUGUUGUUGCGACGUCUGAUUCACUGGUAUAUCCAACAUGGCCGACUGGCUGAUUGUUUACGUGCCGGAGAACAGAGUGCUUUUUGAUAAAAGACACAAAUAUUACAAAGAUAACGACCUGAAGAACAACUUGUGGAGAGUCAUAGCGUCGGAUUUCUCAUAUGACGAUGGUUUGUGUGCUUUAACAGCUUGCUACAAGUCUUUGUUUUAACUUUCAUCUGUGCUAAGUAACUUUAGCUCGUAAGCUAACCUGUUCAGAUACAACAUACCGAAUGUAUUUUCACUCUCAAACUCAAUGGCGUUGCUGUCAUAGCACCUUUAGGUCUUGGUUUGUUACCUUACGUUUAUGGAUUAUAGUUUAAUGUGCUUAUCUGGUACUGGCCCCUACUCAGUACAUGCUAUCAUGACAGACAGCCAUCUCAACGCUCGUGUCUAAUCAGAACUGAAAAACAGUCAGUCUGCUGUUGUGUCAGUCUUCUCGCUUCCACCUGGGACAUGACUUUUUUCCCCCUGGAAAGUCGCAAAAUCACAACGGGCUUGAUGUGUAUAGUCAGGCGCGUCAAAAUUCGCCUCUGAAUAUUAAGUCAUUUUGCGUUCUAUAUUUGCGUCUGUCCCGGUGUGGAAGGACCUUCAGAUUAAAAGUGGAGGUUCUACUAAGCAUGCACUCCAAAACAUUUGUGACAAACUAUAAUUAAAUGCCUAAAUAACAAAGGCCAUGUUGUCAAUUAGAGCAUCCAAAACAUUUGAUCCAGUUUUUUAAUUUAAUUGAAUUUUUUUGCUCCACCCACAGUCUCUGGUGGAGGUUUUUAUGCUAAAUUCACACAGAGGCAGGGGGUACAUUUGAAAUCUAGUAUCAACUUUUUAUCCACUUACUGCAUUUAAUGUGUAUUCUUAAAUAAUUCAUAGUGUAGACUUGCCAUUACUGAGUGCAUCACUUGCCUGAUGUGAGUGAAUGCAGCGCUAGACAUGUGUCAUGAAUGCAGAACUGGUCUAAUGUCAGUGAAUAACUACUGGUCUAAUGUCAGUGGAUGCAGAGCUGUCCUGGUGUCAGUAAAUGCAGCGUUAGACAUGUGACAGUGAAUAACUACUGGUCUAAUGUCAGUGGAUGCAGCACCAGCCUGGUGUCAGUGAACGCAGCACUGACCUGAUAAUUGGUCCAUCCUGAUGAUCUGAGGAGGAUUGAUGCAGGAGAAUCUCUGAGACAGCGCUUGGUAUGGUGCUUCAGUGUCAGUGAAGGAGGAAUAGAGAGGGUUGACCUGGAUCAAAGUUACUCCUUAAGGAUAGCCUGCACCUGUGCAUUAAGGCCUUCUUUGGCAGAGGGGUAAACACAAGAACAUGACUGUGAACAAUAUAUACAUGAGCAAACACAGCUGUGAACUCUUUCAAAAGUCUUUUCUUUCUAACAACACUGUUUCAGUUUAAGGAGCAGCUAAUAUACAGCAAAAGGCUAUUCCACUGUUUGAUAGAAUAUGUUUCAGUGGAAACAGACCCUAAACCCACAGAAGGUCUUCAGCCACAGGUUGAUGUGAACCUGGAAGAGGAACUUUGCAAAUCAUGUUAUUUACCCAAAGUUCCUCUGUCCUGGAGUCUUAAAGGUAACCUCCCUGGCAGGCAGAGCAAAGGGCAGACGAGUGGAGAAAAGAAAAGUACAUAUCAGUGAGUCCUGAUGUCCCCUGUGUCUCCUGCAGACAAAGAGCGUCCCCCCCUCUGGCCCCCUUCCCCCCACUGAGAGAUCCAUCCACAGGCUCUAAAUGCUUCCCAGUCAAACUUGGAAUAUGGAUGAAGGGGACGAGGGCUUUGUGGCGGAAAUAUAAUUACGGCCUGUGAAAGCUGGAGGGGGUGGAGAAUGGGGGAUGACAUCAGAGUGAUUUCACACCCGGCCCCGGACGGCCAGGCCAAGCCGAGGCCUGGCUGCGCUCUGCUGAUCAAAGGCUGCCAGAGACAGAAACACUUAACUAUGCUAAUCUGCAGGACAAAUAUAUUUUAAUCUUGUUAGAAUACAAAUUAAUGCUGCAACCCAGAGGAAACUUCCAGCAGAAAGAUACCAGGAAACACUAACACUGUUUCUGACCAACAUCAAGGGGAUCAGACCUCAAGGAACACGGAGAACAGGACUUCCAGAGUCGGAUUGAUCCUCUGAGGACACUGAAUGCGAUCUGCAGGCGUGGCUUAGAAUCACAAUGCUGUGUCCAGACUCAAUUUGCUCACCAUGAAUCAACUGUAAAUAAAACACCAACUCAGAUAAAUGACAAUUUACCUGUGACCUGGAUGAGUUUACACUGAUCCAAACUGAGCUCUGGGUUCACAUCCAGCUUUUAUUAUGGAUCCACUUAAACAUUUCAACCAAAACGUUGGUGUACCUUUGACACUGGUGAAAACUCAAACUACGUUGUGCAAAUCAAUAAAAAAAAGAAAUCUUAAAUUUCAAUUCAGAAGAGAUGGAACAUCAUGGUAAAUGUGAAUGAAAACAAAACAAAACACAUUUUGAUGCUUUAUGAGUCAUUUGAAACCCACAUUUAAUUCAAAACAGUGCAAAGUUGAAAUUGGAGUUUGAAAGUCAAAUGUUGUCCCAUUCUUGCCUGAUAGAGGAUUUCAGCUGCUCAACAGUUCAGAGUCUCCUUUGUCCUAUUUUUGGUGUCUUGAUGCUCCAAAUGUUUUCAAUGGGGGACAAGUCAGGACUGCAUCAGUCCAGUUUCUCAGCAGAACUCUUCUACUACAGAGCCAUGCUGUUGUAGUCCCUGUUGUCAGAAUGUGGUGAUUGUCUUGCUGAAAUAUGAAGGUCUUCCCUGAAAAACUCUUUGUCUGGAUGUCAGCAGAUGUUGCUUCUACCUGUAGAUUUUGUUCAGCAUGAAUGGAGCCUUCACAGAUGUUCAAGAUACUCAUGACAUGGACUCUGAAGAUACCGAUACCAUCAGGGAUGCUGGAUUUGGACUGGGAGUUGAGAACAAGCCAGGCGGUCCCUCUUCUCUUUCAAGCUAUCUGUGAUUUCCAAAAAGGAUCUCACAUUUUGAUUUACCACAACACAGCAGAGUUCUUCACCUCACCUUAGUUCAGUUCUAACUUCAUUUGUGGAUGCAGUGAUAAACUCUGUUCACAGACAAUGGUUUCUGGAAGUGAUUUAGAGCCUUUUCACUUAUUCCCACUCCAGAGUCCUGUCUGUUUUUAAUGCAGUACUGCCUGAGGGCCAGGAGAUCAGGUUCAUCCAGUCUUGGUUUUGGUCCUAGUCCCUUUAGUACAGAGAUUUCUCCCGAUUCGCUGAAUCUUUUAAUGAUAUAUUGUUCUGUAGAUGAUGAAAUCCACUCUUUCUUUCACAUUUGACACUCAGGAACAUUAUUCUGAAACUGUUAUUCUGAAACCCUAACUGUUUUCUUUCUUCUUUUUUUUUCCUUUUUCUAAAUUUUUUCUUAAUUAUUACAUUUAUUUAACUUUCUUAAUAUUAGGAUCUUUAUUUUUUAUAACUGCAUUUUUGCACUCUUUGUCUGUGAUGCUGCUGUGACAAAAAAAUUUCCCCAAUGGGGGAUCAUUAAAGGAAUAUUCUAUUCUAUUCUAUUCUUGAUCUAUUUGCUCACACAGUCUCUCACAGCGAUAAAUAAAAGUUACCAUCAAAACAAUCUUGUGUGCUGUAUUAGUGCUCAGGGAUGAGCUUAGGUUUGCUUGUUGCUGACCAUUUUAAACUGUAAACCCCCGCCCCCCCAAAAAAAAGAGAAAAAAAGGGAAAGAAAAUCACGUCCUCUAAAUUGACACAGAUAAUGAAACAAGACAUAGAGACCAAAUCAGUUUUUGUACUGGGCUAUAGUUUUAUUUCUGCUGUAAAAAUAUUUAUUUUACAAUUUUUUUUCCAAUUGUGUUUGAAAUCGAGGCUCAUUUUGUCAAGAAACUACACACAACCACUCACAUAAUCAGCAAUACACCUCAGAUCCUUUGCAAAAUGAAUCACUUUUGUAAAAACCCUACUCUUACACAGAUAAUGUUUGCUUGAAUUUGUCUGAGCUUUAUGGGACUAAUGGCCAAAACCGUGUUUAUGAUCUCUCUCUCUUUUGUUCCAGUGUGAAUAUGACCCCCUUCAGCCAUGUCGAUCUCAACCUUCAAUCCCGUGUUGGACAAAAUACAUGUAACCUUUCGUAAAGUGCCGAAAAGGGGUAAUAAAAGUGAUGACAAGGGUAAAUACAAUAAGCAGCUGCUUACUGUAACUGUAGACAGAUAUUUUUUUUUUAACCUAUUUUAUGUGGAAAUGUCCUGAUAACGGAUGCCACCGUACAUCUGCUCAGAUUUUGGCUGAACUCUCUGCAUCAGUCCAUGGUUCACAACAUGGUCAACUAGUGUUGCACGAAUUUCAUUGAAUAAAAUUGGUCCUUUUCUUCGUUAAGCACAUUCUCUGCCUGCGUUAAGUCUCCCUCCUCUCACCCUCAUUCUUCUUCUUCUGACUCCUAUCAUUUUGGUUGAAGACAGAUGAACUCACCUGUUGCAUUUUCACCUGAUGUGUGUAUUUAACCAGUUGGCUCACUCAUGUGGUAAAUUGACAGUCAGUGCACUGGUAUUGCAAGGAAGUGACGUCAUGAUGUACUUUGUGUCUAAUGUAUACAACUGUGUUUACAACUGCAAAUAACCAAACAAUAAAGUGUGAGGCUGACAUUGUGCUAAUAGUGGUGCAAAUAAAAUAAGAUUAGAUAAGAAGAGCUAUAUUUAUCCCAGAGGAGAAAUUCGAUAAUCAAAAUCUGGGUCGAUCUUUUGUUCAUCGAGCUUUAAGGUCCUUUCACACCAGGAGCACUUAUUUCGUGCGAUUAUUUCGGGCCUCAAUAUUUUUUUUUGAAACCCAUAUCCUGUCAAUACAAGCGUCUACAUCAGCAACAUUUUCCUGUCCUGCCAAAUAGCGACAUUUAUUUUUUCGGAUCACAGUCGAUUUUUCUAAAGUUUCGCAAACUGGCUCUCAUUUAUCAAGCUUGCGUACGGCAGAAAACUUACGUACACCUUGCGUACAAAAAUUUUGGCGUGAGGAUCGGCAUUUAUCAAUCUGCACGCGAGCGUACGCUAUGACCAAAUCUCACGACAGGUCUGACAUCGUGUACGCAAGUUUGAGUCAGUGUGGAUCUGUGGUGCAGCAAAUGUCUGUCUGAAAAUAAUUGAUAAACAAACCUCAAACCUGUCAUUAAGCACAAUCAGACAGAUUUUAUCAAAAAUUAAGACGUAAAUAAAAUAAAUUUGUUUUCGUAAAUUCACGUUUUAAAUUUGCUUCGGUCCCGGUGUGUAAGGACCUUGAGUUUUUAAUAAUUGUUUAUACUUUUGAUUUUAUAGAUUAUGCAGUCAUAUAGCUGUAUUAGGGCCUCUGGUUUCUGCCGAC
This is a non-coding RNA of Xyrichtys novacula (pearly razorfish), 5375 nucleotides long. Lineage: Eukaryota; Metazoa; Chordata; Actinopteri; Labriformes; Labridae. The record is from the annotation of a GenBank genome assembly.